CUUUUUUACAUUCUUGUGAAGAACAUCCGUGAUCCGUGGCGAUUUGCGCAGAUUGUUAAAGUAAUAGUCAUAGUAAAUACGACGGUCGCGUCGACGAGUGAGCUCAUUAUGCAGAACGAUUGGGAUAACGGAACAUGGAAAAUGCAAGCGAAUACGAUGACCAUGUUCAUGGCGGAGGCCGUCGGUACGGCUAUUCUCUUGCUCUUCGGGUGUAUGGGAUGUAUCGGCACCCUGGGACCCGCACCACCUCCACUGCUGCAAACGGCACUUACUUUCGGUCUGACAGUGAAUCUCGUAAUUAUGACGAUAGGUCACGUAAGUGGCGCUCACAUUAAUCCGGUUAUCACCAUCGGUGCUGUCAUUAUGGGCCUGAAGUCAAUUCCGACCGGCAUGGUUUACAUCCUGGGACAGCUUAUUGGCGCCACUGUGGGAUAUGGAGCUUUAAAAAUGAUAACGCCAGCGGAAUUGUUCAAUGACGGAAACUUGAAUGUGAAUGCGAGUCUUUGCGUUACAACUGUUCAUCCAGAGAUUAGCUGCGUGCAAGGUUUAUUAAUCGAGGUGUUUUGUACAACUUGCAUACUUUGCGCGGCUUGCGCCACGUGGGAUCCUCGAUGCGCUCACAUUACGGAUUCGGUCGCCCUCAAAUUCGGCCUCACCGUCGCCACACUUUCCUUCGCUGCGGGUCCUUACACUGGGUGCAGUAUGAAUCCAGCACGAUCAUUUGCGCCUGCACUUUGGAAUAAUGAUUGGAAGGAUCAUUGGAUCUCCAGUUCGCACGACGAUCUCGAUGGCGUAAUCCUACAUGGCUGGUCGUCCGAUUGCGCAAUUCCGCCAUAAUUUAUUCGGUGAAUACGACGGAUUUGCACCGGCGUGGCCAGGCAAAAACAUCGUACGUGUAACCGGCAAAGGUUCAUCAACCUUCACCCAGCGACACACUCUCGCCGGCUGGGACUUGGUCACGGAUACGAUCGAUAGCGGGGCGUUUCGUCGACGUUUCGAGAAACUCGCGUCCCAGGCGGUACGCACACACCUGCGUGCACCCCGGGACUUGAAAAACGCCCAUCGUCGUUCCCGUGGAAAAGGUAUACCGUAUACUUGCAGCAUUGUCGUGCCACAAGUGUCACGGGGCAGAUCGUUGCAAACCGGCUGGCCCCGCGCGACCGGUUGGCCGAAGAUUUGAGAUCCUGAAAGCCCACCAACCCUACUGCAACAUCAUCCUCGACGUGACUACCGAGUUCAAGGUCGCGCGAUACCGGCGAGGCAACUAAAAUUAGUUCAGCGGGCAGGUUAUCUAUGCGCUCGGGGUAGCCACGACGUUGUGAACAAAGAAUUCGUUAUUUAUGUAACGAGUUGAUGAGGGUGAACCGCGGUGCCACGAUGACGAAAGAAAAUCUCUCGAGACCUCUCUCUCUCUCUCUCUCUCUUUCUCUCUGCCUCCCUCUCGAGGGAGAGAAUAUUGCGACGCAAUAUACUCUCCUUUCUUUUCCCUCUCAGCAGAUCGAAGUUCUGCGCGGCGCGCGAUUAGGGUGGGGCAGUUUUCGUACCAUGUUGCGUAAUAGACGUUCACCCUUUGCACGAAGUUAUUAUAAUGGCUGUGCGAUGAAGUAUAAACAACUUGCUGGGUUUAAUAUAGACGACGAUGCGAGGGAAACUGUCUAACUUUACACAGCUAUUCUUUAUUUUGUUACGUUGUAGAUACUAAAAAAAAUUUUUUACUGGAAAAAAAAACUUGAGUUAUAUACUAUCAUUGUAGCAUAAGUUAUAUUUACGCGUAAUUUACGCGAAGAUAUUAAUAUCAGAGUAUCACGAGAAUUAUAAUAUACAAUUCUUUUGAUAAUUUACAAUGAAGGAACAACGGUUUUGUUAAGCUUUCUUAUCAUGAGUCAUGAUUUACACGAAGGUAUUAAUAUCAGAGUCGCAAGAAUUAUAAUGUAAAUUUUUUUAUAACUUGCAACGAAGAGCAAUGAUUUUUAUUAAUCUUUACGGUAUAAUUUCCAUUUUUAUCGUUAGUCAACACAAUCGUGGAGAAGGAAUUAAUGGAUGAAAUGUAUAAUCGAUGCGUUUAUUUUGCUGGGUCGGAGACAGCGUACAUUUGCGCACUUUCUAUAUGUCAUAUCUAUAACUCACUUCGUGCAUCUAUCGAUUAGCUACUGCAGCUGAACCUCGAAUGUUCUGGAACACGGUGGAAACACCUAAACUGCAAUAUCUACGCUUAUAGCGUCAAUUUGCCCAUUACGAAAAUAUCCGAUGAAAUCCGUUCCUUUCCGCAAGAGAAACAAUUACUAUUAUUAGCUGCUAAUGUAAGUUGUUAGAAUAUUUUAAACAUUAAAUGUCUAUAUGUAGAACGUAUUAUAUGUUCUUGGGUAAUUUAUUAUUCAAUACAUUUACAGAGCUAUAUCGUGGACCACUCACAAUCAGAAUGUGAUUACCGCAUAAAAACCACACACCGUAUCACUUGUUCUAUAAAUAUACUUUAUGAGCGAUGCGUUGAAUAACAAAUUUAAUCCAAGAUAUUCAGAGCGCAUAUAUCGUCGAGUUACACACGACAUUUCCUAACUUGACCUGUCAGAGGAUCGAAAAAACGUGCUAAUUGAAAGUCCGCAUUCAUUAGCGACGCACGCUAACUGUAUACCAUCUUCGUUCCAACGAGAUCGGUAAAAGGAGGAGACGUCGUUGAGAAAGUUCCCACAGAUGAUCGCGCGCGCUCCCAUUUGAUGCAACAUAGUUGGCAACCGUCUAGCAUUUCAUUACGCCGCUCUGAAUGACACCUGAAUGUAACGAGGUAUCACACGGCACAUUGUGCAUAUUUCUAUGAAGUAUACAAGUAGUUCCGUUCACCCUACCCACCUCGUCGUGCCUCUAAUCCGCCGGCCGUUGUUAACGGCCGACAAAAAGACGAUCUCUCGCAGGGAGAGGGAGAGAAAGAGAGAUAAGUAUCUGGCGCGCGCGGCACGACCCUCAUAUAUAUCUCUCUGAAUAAAAUUGCAUUAAUUGCGUCUACUUAAAAAGGAGCGGCCUUUGUGGAUACGUUCGGGCCGGGCUAACGAGCGGCGAUAUGAAAAGGAAAUCGAUAGAGCGGUACAUGAUACACCGAAAGAGGAACGAACGUAAUAUUAUGCAACCCGGUUGUAACGCCGCUAUUAUAUACGCCGUUGCCCGGCCGCGCAUCAUCAGAGCCGUUGCAAUCUCUAACGCGAGCGCGAAUUUAUUCAUCUUCCUUUUCUCUCUCCCUCCCUCACUCUCUCUCUUUCUUUCCACAAUUACGCAUCUUCAGACAGAAAAUCGUCCUCGCGACCCACAUCUUCUGCUCUGAGUGCUCCCGAAAGUGGGCUGACGCUACGUUGCGUAAUGAUGUUUGCGUCUCCGAUUGUCACCGGCAAUCUCGCGUUUGCAUCGAAAUUGCUCAUUCUCACGCUAUCGCCCGUACGUGCGUAUGUACAUACGUAAAAGACACGCGCGUGAGUCAACCCGGCCGACGCGUGUGUUUGCAAACACACGCGUCGGCCGGGUCCCGGCUGCGCCUUCAAAUCUCGUAAAAAUAGCUGUCGGUCGCCUCAAGAGUCUGAUAAAAAAAACUGCGUCGAAGCGGCCACAAGGUCGCUCCAAGCUGCGAGCCUGGCUGCGCAGUACGGAAAUCCCACCACAAACGCGCGCGCCUUCCGACCGUAGAAACUACGUUUUAACGUUUCAGCGUGGCGCACGCACGCCAAUUUCGCAAUAUUGGAUCACGACGUGUGGCGUCCCUUUCUCCUCCCUUCCUCUCUCGCUUUUUUUCUUCCCUACGCGUCUCUCGGCGUUCGUUUACAAAACACUCUCGAAAACAGCCUCUAAUCUGUUUACUAACGAUAACGGCCUCUCCCCAAUGAUAACAGAAUCCUCAUUAUCGCGCGUCGCAUACAGAAUGCAAAAAUCGCCACGUCCAGGAUGUCUCUCUCUCUCUCUCUCUUUGAUCAACAUAAAUCAAUCAUCCCGUGGACGUGAUCCUUCCGAGUAAUAGUUCGGACAAACAAAGGGCCAAGGUUGUCCUACUGACACCCGCGCGGCGAUGUCUUCGCUGCGCAGUAGGUUCCAACGCGGUCAUUCUUUCUUUUUAAUCUAUCCGGUCCUCCCGCAGGUCGUUCUCUUCUCGAGAUACGAGACGAUGCGCACGUAGGUACAGCCGCACGAGAUCAACGACGAACGAGGAGGCUACGCUCACGUUAUACAAGCGAUGUUAUAUCACACACCGGUUGACCGUGCUAAUGGGAGCGGGGGCGAUGAGGGAGAGGGGUCUCUUUCUCCUGUAUGUGUGUGUGUUUGUGUGGGUUGGGUGAUAUGGUGGGGUCUCCGGUCGGAGCUGAGCGAACGUGCCAGAAAUCCCGUCGUCCCUGCCGACCGGGGACCCGAUCAAUACUUUGGCAUCUGCUGAUUUCCUGGUCAUAACGUGGGAAAAACAGAUCGGCCAAUGCACCGAUCGACAGAUCUCGUCGCGGUGGUGCCGAUUGUCGUGGUCCCGACCCGGGCCGGACGCCGGCAAGGCCCGAAACGAUCGAUCGCCGGGAAUUGCGCAUUAGGCGACGAGGCGGAGUGAGGACGCGGUCGGAGAUCUCGAAGCUUCCUCCGCGUUGCGACGCCGCGGCGGCGCGCGCCUAUAUAAGGCGGCCGGCCGGCCAGCCGCGGCGCAUUCGUAAACAAACCCUGGUUCAGUUUGGACGCUGCGAACACCCGAAGACCCCCCUUCACCCACCACCAUCAGUGUAACACACUUCGGCUUCUUACUUCGUCGAGACCGCCGGCACGGGAAAAUGUAGGCGAGCGGGCACCAGGUGCGGAGCGCGACAGUUUACCUGCACCCUACGGGGUCGGUGCUUGAACAAUCCGUACGCGACGAUAACAGCCGUGAUUAGAAGUUGAAAUUCCUUCACUCUUUGAACAAAUAUGAGAAGAGAACCUCGAGAUAUAGUUUAGAGCAGACUCGUAGUGUUUGAUCCGAAAUCGUCGAACGACCAUCUGCCUCUUCUAGUACUACACGCUGAGGCGCAGCAUUGGGAACGUCGGGAUCGAAAAGCAAAAAUCAAAUAUGUAACGUAAGCCGCAUUAGCUAUAACAAAGACGAGAGAGGGGAGAGAGAGUGAAAGAGCGAGAGAGGGGAAUAGUGGAGGAGAGAGAGAGAGAGGGGGGAGGCUCCGUUCGUUCGCGGUUGAUUCCGCGAAUGAGGGAGCGGGGCGGAUGUUAACGCGAACUGUCUCGGCUCGAUCGAGCUUACCCUUUUGGGCGCCGUGAUUGUUAGUACACCAUCCGAGGAGAGAGUCGAAGUGAUGUUGACGAGAUCGUGAGUCGGGGGCAGGACGUAUCUGCGUACGAAGUGUCUGCUGAUGUAGCCGUGCUCGUCCUGCUUCUCCUCGUGCUUGGCCUCGACAACGACGUAAUUGUCAACCGUCUUCACCGUGAUCUCACUCGGUGAGAACUGUUGCACGUCCAGUAUCACCUGCGGAUCAGAGAGCGCCGUUAACUUACUCGGGAUAUCCUCUCUCGUCACCGCCACCGAGGACAGAAGUAUCUCGCAUCCUACCGUGAGCGAUCGCGAAACCACCCGUCAUGCAUCCAUAGUGCGAAAGUUAAGUAUCGACAUCACACCUGUACGAGCUUACUCCGAAAAAAAAAAAAAGAAAAAAUUAUGAUCGACCUUUGAGCGAUAAGAGACCCGCCACCCUUUUCUUGUAUUGCGCGGAUUCCUUUUGUUUCGACAUUUUGUUUCUUGUUCUGGCUAACUGAAUUUCCGGAAGAGGAUCUCGAACGCCGCCGUGCACAUAUUCCAGCGCAUAUUCUAAAUCGUACUCUAAAAUAUUAUACGCGUAGGGUUAAUUCACGCACAACAGUUUCGGCUUGCCAUCUGGGAAGCAACGCUUCAUUCGGUCACUUCCACAUUUGUCCCUUCACGCUUCUGCGUUCAGGGGAGCCGCCGAUCAGGUCCGAUUAUUAAAAUUUCCGCGACAGAAGAAAGAAAUGGCAGUACAACCAACGUUUUAGAUCCUAUCCCGCUCGUCAGAUAAGCGCAUCGUGAAAGCACUAAUUUUCCUUUUCGCGUCGCGAUUCUCUCAUGUGUAAUUCUACGCGGUUCCUUUAGAUUUGUCCCGUAUAACAAAAACCAAACCGGGAAAAUGUAGUUGCCGGGCAUACCUACUUGUGUGAGAUUGUUCUUUUUUUUUUUACGAUCAGAAAAAACGAGCAUACAUACAAGUAGGUGAUUCUUCUUUAUUUGUAACUGACGCGUGCGCGGUCGUGCAGGGAGCGAUCGGUCGCGAUCGCGGUGGCUGGUCCCUUUGCGGCCGGCGCGCGAGCUCGCGUUGGGCGAGGAAAACAAGGAACCGAUAAAAUAAAAACAAAGAUAAAAAAAAUAAAAAAAGAAUAGAAAGAGAGAAGAUGAAUAACAUUUUGACAUAGAACGAGGAACUCUAACACUCGACGGUAGUGAGGCAAGCGUACCCGAGUCUCUCCGGGUGAUCCUGCGUGAUCCUGGAGCGGACCUCGGCGAGCGCGAAGAGAUUAGCGGAGGAUAAUUGGCUGUGCAUUUCGAAAAUAGUACCAAAAAAAAAAAAAAACAAGAGUAGAAGAGAGGAGGAGAGAUAAGAGUUCGUGGAGGGAUCUCGCUCCACGAACGAUCGGCUCGAGUGCUGCGCGCGGAGCGACACAUACUUUUGUACAAAUACAGAGAAAUAAAGAGAAACGAAUUCCGCGUAAGAAGGAGGAAAGAUAAAAAAAAAGCACAAAGGUCAUUUUGUACGAUUCUAUUGUUGUGGGUAUUCAAAAAGCAUUUAUUUUUGUAUAGAGAUUAUAAACAGCGGGGGGGUACCGGGGCCCGCGGGUCGCGGUUAACGCGAGCGGCGCACCCUUUGAGAUGAGGGGUGCGUCCACGCUCGUCGUCGGGACGGCACGAGAGCCUCGGUUCUUCCGCUCGAACAAGACUGACUAAAAGCGCGACGCGAUAUAUACAUCCACUCUUUCGGUUGCAUAUUUUAUUCCGUGGCUGCUGCGCGCGAUUUUCCGCGUGCGAAGCACUCCGAACGAAAAAAAAAAAAAAUUGCAAGACAACGUCACGUACGGAAAUUGGUAGUCACCUCGGAUCUGCGGCAGGCAAACCGUGCGCGCGAUUGCGCGAGGAGAAAAUAUCGCGGAAAGAGAAGAGUGAAAAACAACAAAAGAGAAACAAACGCACACAUACACGCGCGCACACACACACACAUACACACAUAUAUGUACACAGUAAGAAUAAAGAGAGGGGGAGGUAAAACGAGAACUGUGGUAAAACUGUGAUUUCAUAGAGAUUCCGAAAACCGGCGUGACUAACCGGAGAUCGUGCAGCGCGAUCGUCCUUUUUUGAUACCGCAUACCUUUCAUAGAACAUUUCCGGCAAACGAGAAGGAUAACUGGUCCCUUCAGACUGGAAAUCUGCUAAUACCGUAAUCAUUACUACACAACCGGACUAUAUCGAAAUAGGGCGAUUAGAUGAACGAUGUAGGAGAAACUAGAUUCUUUUCGGCACAAACGCGGUUUAUUGUAAAAGGGGACUGAUAACGUCGUGGAUAUUUUUUUGACUAUUCGAGCUCUUGCGGGGAAGAGAAAAAAAAAGACGAAGAAAGAAGACAAAAAUACCGUAUUCGCGAAAAAAAGAGAAAAAAAAAACAAGAAAAGUCGUCCCUCCGAUCCGAUUUAUUACUCGCCCUCCCUCCUCCCGAGGAGGGGGGUGCAAAAAACGUCCCCUACCCCUCGUCCCGAAAAUAGUCCCGCUCGAACACUCGUUUCACCAUCCCGAUCUGUCGUGAAAAUCGUGCUGCCGCCCUCUCGGUCGACUUACCGUCGCGAUCGCGGCGAUUACGAAGGCGUAGAUUAAAACGCGUAAAUGCAUAAUACAUGUAUGCGUGUAUGGCGUUAGAGACAGCGGUAGCUGCAGCGACAUAGAUGCAGUCAUCAGUUUUUCGGGCCUUCUGGUGUUCCGGAACUUUUUCGUUCGUUGCUUUUUGUUGUAAGCCACCCUUACGUUGAGUUUCACCCGUCCCUUACGUUUGGUUUCAUCCCCUGCCGGGGUACCUUUUUCUUUUCUAUUUUAACGGCCGCGCGGCUAAUUCGUUCCCCUCAAAAGUAACGUUCAAUUCCGUUCAAGUAAGUAGUUUCCACUUCGAUCUUUUCCGUUAACGCCUUUUUUUCUCCCCCUUUUACCCUUUCUCCCUUUUCUCUUCCCUUUCAUCCCGCCCUUCCCCUUCAUCCUUCCCUUCCUUUUUUUUUCCUUUUUACGAAUGCGCCCUUUCAUCCUUCCCUCUCACGUCAUUCCCGUCAUCUCUUCGGUCAUUUGUCUCCUGCGACUUUUCUAUAUUUCGAAAUCUAGUUACGAUAUUCGCUACUCGUUUUUUCGCUAGAAGAUAAUGUAAAAAGAAAGUAUCUUCCCCUGUAAUACACAUAUUAAAUAUUGUACUUUGUUUCGUAGGCUAUCAUUCGAGGCUUUUUAUAUUCGACACAAAAUUAAUUUUUGCGUCCGAUACAAAACGCACUCGAGCUACAAAUACCAAAAUAAGAAAUAAGGAAAACCACUAAAGAGUUUAAGUCGUGUCUUUUAGCCUAAGUUGUAUCGCACUGAAUGUGUAAUCGAGCACAUUCCGCACGUUUUUUAUUUCUGAAAUCAUCCCGAGAAAAUCAAUGUAAUUAUAGCGCGUCGAGGCAGAGCGGUCUCGAAUUCAUGAAUUUAGAACUGUCAGGUGAAUCGCAUUACAUCCAUGACGAAAUGUGAAUGUAAUUUGAUGAACCGAAGAGGGUACAUACUCGUGAGUUUGGGAGAGUGUUAGGCAAGUUGCACAUCUGUAUUCGACGUAACAACCGUUGCAAAAAAAAAA
Molecule: unclassified non-coding RNA, 8864 nt
Filed under: Monomorium pharaonis (pharaoh ant)
Lineage: Eukaryota; Metazoa; Arthropoda; Insecta; Hymenoptera; Formicidae
Description: aquaporin AQPAe.a, transcript variant X3
Source: RNAcentral